CACACAACCCCCACAUAUUCAACGCCAAGACACCCGCCGCGAGAGAAUAAAUUCACUUACUCACACCAAGUCCAACGAGCGAAGGGUGAAGAGAAGAAGAUACAAAACUUCUUUUGAGUUGUGGGGUGGGUUGUUGUUGGUUAAAUCACCCACCGACCUUUUUUUUUCUUCAACCCGCAGCACUCUACCCGGGGGGGCGGUGGGUACACCCCCCGACAGAUUUGUCAUGGCCGCGAGGAGAGUUAUGGGUAUCACCAAAUUUUGUUUGAUAAAGCCCGACCAAAUAACUUCGUAUAAUGAUGCCUUUCACCCCGCACCCGGAGAGAUCCCCCCCCGACCCCCCUUUUUGGGGGAUUUAUCAAAUAGGGUUACGCGCAGGAGAGAGUUCUCUCUCUUUUUAUGGAAACACACACACCCCAAAUAAAAAAAGAGUAAGAUAAAUCCCUGUCCGCGCGCCCCCAAAUACCCCGGGGGGGGGAUACUUCUUGGGGACAGUUCCUAAAUUUCUCAAGCUCUCUGUAUUAGAAUAACCCAAAUUUUUUUUUUUUUUUUUUGGAUGGGGAAGAU
RNAcentral lists this ribosomal RNA (567 nucleotides) under Fusarium chlamydosporum. Its description in RNAcentral is "partial 18S ribosomal RNA". The record is from RNAcentral. Lineage: Eukaryota; Fungi; Ascomycota; Sordariomycetes; Hypocreales; Nectriaceae.